UACAGAGGUCUCGAGCGUUGUUCGGAUUCAUUGGGCGUAAAGGGUGCGUAGGUGGCACCGUAAGUCGGGUGUGAAAUCCUGAGGCUUAACCUCGGAACUGCAUUCGAUACUGCCGUGCUUGAGGACUGGAGAGGAGACUGGAAUUUACGGUGUAGCGGUGAAAUGCGUAGAUAUCGUAAGGAAGACCAGUGGCGAAGGCGGGUCUCUGGACAGUUCCUGACGCUGAGGCACGAAGGUCAGGGGAGCAAACGGG
RNAcentral lists this ribosomal RNA (253 nucleotides) under uncultured bacterium. RNAcentral's name for it is "partial 16S ribosomal RNA". It matches the Rfam family "Bacterial small subunit ribosomal RNA", at positions 524 to 776 of the family's 1533-position model. The record is from RNAcentral.